UUGGCCGUGAAGUACCCGCCGGGGCGCGGCCUCAGGUGCCGGUUGUGCAUCUCCAUUUGCACGAUCUUCAUGAACUCUAUCUGUGCAGCCAGUUUCUGCACUUCUUCCUGGAAUAACAAAAAUUACAAUCAGAAUGAAACGAACCAGCUGUUCGCAUAACACGGCCGGCAACAAACCACUGCAAGGCACUAAGGACGGUAGUGGGCUUUGUCUGAUGGAAGUCUCUGCAUUGGUUGUCCGCAACCGUCACUACGCGUUCCGCCUAGCGCGGCUUAUCUUCUUAUAUAGGAGGGGGCUCAAAAGGACGCUCUCGACGUCAACGGCAGCGGGAGGCCUACCUGUCACGAUGCAGUCUAAAAAGAACCAAUACUAUCUUAGUUCUCACUAAAGGGAAUUUAACACUAAAAAAAAACAUUUCACUACCAUGAAAAGACAAAUUGAAAGUGUUUGAAAGAGGUUUUAAAUAUGUCGCAAAUAAAAAGGCUGAAAUACGAUAAUUAUGGUAGCAUUCAUUAGUCUAAGCAUGAGGAAUCACCAAACCAUAAAUUCUUCAAAAAUUUUGAUAAAUGUAUUUGAUUCUUCAUUCGAAAUAAGUAGGUAUACGAUAUUAGUAUCCAUUUAUAUCACAAAACAUUACAUUUGAAAACGUUACGAACCAAACUACAAAAGCCAUUGUUCCUAUAAUACAAAGAUGGUUCUGUGCAUUUGAUAUUACGCAUGUUAAAGAUAGGGUAGGUCUUUUGAACACCCGUAACUCCAUCAUUGGCUUUGUUAAAUGACAACGAGACGGCUAGGCUGAAGACGUUACAAGUUAUGUUAAUAGAUAGCACAUUUCACGUAUUACGGACGGAAUUUUCGGAGUGUAGUUUUCAUCUACAAUCAAUUUCACUGUUUGUCUAGUCAUUUGUUCUUUUCAUACGACUUCGAAAAAAGGAGGAAAUUCUCAAUUCAAAGUGUAUGUUUUUAUGUUUGUUAUAUCUCAACUCGGCAGUUUGUUAACCGAUUUUGAAAACUCUUUUUUAUUUAAAGAAUAUACUUUCAGAUUUUGCCUUUAUUAUUUUAAAGAAAAUAGGUCCAGUAAUUUGGUUUUUAAACUAAAAUAACUGGCUUAAGUAUUUCGUUUAAGUAAACGAAAUUGUUAAUCAAACUUUCCUGUGACUUUUUUAGUGGUGUUUUGGCAUUUGUUUUUGUUGUGUCUUUUUCAUACAUACAUAUAUAGCAUUUUCCCUUUUCAGGGGUACACAAAGAUGUAACACCUCAGUGGAAUAGUCGUAAUGCAUGUGCAAUACGAGUACGCCAUUGAUGAUGAUGAUGAGAUGUCUAUUUCUUACUAAAAUAAAAAAGUUUAUAAUUUUUUUUUUUAUGUAAACUGUUUACCAAUUUUGUGUUCGGUGACUAAAUAAUGUUAAAGUGGUUUUUGAAGGUAGUUUAAUUUUUAUAACUGUUGUCAUAGGCACAGUCGUAAUAAAUUGUAAAUAUUGAAAUAAUUGUAAAUUAAUUUUUUUCAACUCUGAUUGUUCAAAAACUAUAUAUCUUCUUAGAAAUUAUGACUAGAUAUAGAUUACACUUUUUAUUUGUUCA
This 1581-nucleotide long non-coding RNA is filed under the name Manduca sexta (tobacco hornworm). Its description in RNAcentral is "uncharacterized LOC119188905". Lineage: Eukaryota; Metazoa; Arthropoda; Insecta; Lepidoptera; Sphingidae. The record is from RNAcentral.